UACGUAGGGUGCGAGCGUUGUCCGGAAUUACUGGGCGUAAAGGGCUCGUAGGCGGCCAACUAAGUCAGACGUGAAAUCCCUCGGCUUAACCGGGGAACUGCGUCUGAUACUGGAUGGCUUGAGUUUGGGAGAGGGAUGCGGAAUUCCAGGUGUAGCGGUGAAAUGCGUAGAUAUCUGGAGGAACACCGGUGGCGAAGGCGGCAUCCUGGACCAACACUGACGCUGAGGAGCGAAAGCCAGGGGAGCAAACAGG
Molecule: ribosomal RNA, 253 nt
Filed under: uncultured bacterium
Lineage: Bacteria
Description: partial 16S ribosomal RNA
Rfam family: Bacterial small subunit ribosomal RNA
Source: RNAcentral